This 301-nucleotide long non-coding RNA is filed under the name Glycine max (soybean). RNAcentral's name for it is "long non-coding RNA (GMAX_LNC003369)". Lineage: Eukaryota; Viridiplantae; Streptophyta; Magnoliopsida; Fabales; Fabaceae. The record is from RNAcentral.
CGGAACAUAAGGCGGGCAAGAGAGUUUGUUUCUUCUCUCUUCAAUGGAAGGCGGCGAACAGGUUCUCCCUUCGGCCACCACCGUCGCCGCCGCCGGCUAUCCCAACGUCUCUCCUCCUCCGCUCGCUGAUCCUGUCGGUGCUUCCGAUCUCGCUGCUGCUGCCUCGGACGACGUUGUUGCGGAACCUGAAAUUCACGCGCUGAUUUCAGACGAAGAGCACGAUCACGAUCACGAUCACGAGCAUGAGCAUGAGCAUGACCAUGACCUCGAGCACGAUCACGAGCAUGAGCAUGACCACCAC